AGGUGGGGUCGAUGAUUGGGGUGAAGUCGUAACAAGGUAGCCGUAUCGGAAGGUGCGGCUGGAUCACCUCCUUUCU
This 76-nucleotide ribosomal RNA is filed under the name Heliophilum fasciatum. RNAcentral describes it as "partial 16S ribosomal RNA". It matches the Rfam family "Bacterial small subunit ribosomal RNA", at positions 1460 to 1533 of the family's 1533-position model. Lineage: Bacteria; Bacillati; Bacillota; Clostridia; Eubacteriales; Heliobacteriaceae. The record is from RNAcentral.